Molecule: ribosomal RNA, 530 nt
Filed under: uncultured bacterium
Lineage: Bacteria
Description: bacterial SSU rRNA
Rfam family: Bacterial small subunit ribosomal RNA
Source: RNAcentral
CUUGACAUCCAGAGAAUUUAGCAGAGAUGCUUUAGUGCCUUCGGGAACUCUGAGACAGGUGCUGCAUGGCUGUCGUCAGCUCGUGUUGUGAAAUGGUUGGGUUAAGUCCGCAACGAGCGCAACCCUUAUCCUUUGUUGCCAGCACGUAAUGGUGGGAACUCAAAGGAGACUGCCGGUGAUAAACCGGAGGAAGGUGGGGAUGACGUCAAGUCAUCAUGGCCCUUACGAGUAGGGCUACACACGUGCUACAAUGGCGUAUACAAAGAGAAGCGACCUCGCGAGAGCAAGCGGACCUCAUAAAGUGCGUCGUAGUCCGGAUUGGAGUCUGCAACUCGACUCCAUGAAGUCGGAAUCGCUAGUAAUCGUAAAUCAGAAUGUUACGGUGAAUACGUUCCCGGGCCUUGUACACACCGCCCGUCACACCAUGGGAGUGGGUUGCAAAAGAAGUAGAUAGCUUAACCUUCGGGAGGGCGUUUACCACUUUGUGAUUCAUGACUGGGGUGAAGUCGUAACAAGGUAAGCGUAGUGCU